This 497-nucleotide ribosomal RNA is filed under the name uncultured bacterium. Its description in RNAcentral is "partial 16S ribosomal RNA". It matches the Rfam family "Bacterial small subunit ribosomal RNA", at positions 28 to 507 of the family's 1533-position model. The record is from RNAcentral.
GAUGAACGCUGGCGGCGUGCCUAAUACAUGCAAGUCGAGCGAACAGACGAGGAUCUUGCUCCUUUGACGUUAGCGGCGGACGGGUGAGUAACACGUGGGUAACCUACCUAUAAGACUGGGAUAACUUCGGGAAACCGGAGCUAAUACCGGAUAAUAUUUCGAACCGCAUGGUUCGAUAGUGAAAGAUGGCUUUGCUAUCACUUAUACAUGGACCUGCGCCGUAUUAGCUAGUUGGUAAGGUAACGGCUUACCAAGGCAACGAUACGUAGCCGACCUGAGAGGGUGAUCGGCCACACUGGAACUGAGACACGGUCCAGACUCCUACGGGAGGCAGCAGUAGGGAAUCUUCCGCAAUGGGCGAAAGCCUGACGGAGCAACGCCGCGUGAGUGAUGAAGGUCUUCGGAUCGUAAAACUCUGUUAUUAGGGAAGAACAAACGUGUAAGUAACUGUGCACGUCUUGACGGUACCUAAUCAGAAAGCAACGGCUAACUACGUG